This is an RNA transcript of Loxodonta africana (African savanna elephant), 4543 nucleotides long. It is a transcript of the gene named tropomyosin alpha-3 chain-like, with no coding region annotated. The transcript is spliced from 3 exons. The record is from RefSeq and is a predicted model, not a curated record. NCBI's taxonomy places the organism in Eukaryota, Metazoa, Chordata, Mammalia, Proboscidea, Elephantidae.
AGUAUGUGUUCUUCUCAGUUUAUACUAUUUCUGAAGAUCUUAUAAUUGUGAUCUUAUACAAUAUUAGUCCUUUUGCCUCUAAUUUUGCUCAGCAUAAUGCCUUCCAGGUUCCUCCAUGUUAUGAAAUGUUUCACAGAUUCGUCACUGUUCUUUAUCGAUGCGUAGUAUUCCAUUGUGUGAAUAUACCACAAUUUAUUUACCCAUUCAUCUGUUGACGGACACCUUGGUUGUUUCCAGCUUUUUGCUAUUGUAAACAGAGCUGCAAUAAACAUGGGUGUGCAUAUAUCUGUUUGUGUGAAGGCUCUUGUUUCUCUAGGGUAUAUUCUGAGGAGUGGGAUUUCUGGGUUGUAUGGUAGUUCUAUUUCUAACUGUUUAAGAUAACACCAGAUAGAUUUCCAAAGUGGUUGUACCAUUUUACAUUCCCACUAGCAGUGUAUAAGAGUUCCAAUCUCUCCGCAGCCUCUCCAACAUUUAUUAUUUUGUGUUUUUUGGAUUAAUGCCAGCCUUGUUGGAGUGAGAUGGAAUCUCAUCGUAGUUUUAAUUUGCAUUUCUCUAAUGGCUAAUGAUCGAGAGCAUUUUCUCAUGUAUCUGUUAGCUGCCUGUAUAUCUUCUUUAGUGAAGUGUGUGUUCAUAUCCUUUGCCCACCUCUUGGUUGGGUUGUUUGUCUUUUUGUGGUUGAGUUUUGACAGAAUCAUAUAGAUUUUAGAGAUCAGGCACUGGUCGGAGAUGUCAUAGCUGAAAAUUCUUUCUCCCCAGACUGUUUUUUCUCCAGCCUCUGGUUCUCCAUUGUGGCCAAGGUUCUCAGAGAAGGCACUAGAACUUGCGGGGUGGGAGUGAGGGGAAAAAGGGAGGGCAGAAAAGCAAAACUUAUACCCUCUCGCAUUGUGAGCCAUAAAGGAACAAGGACAUAACACCACAGGUGCCUAGCCUGAGGUCUACACGUCCAUUUGUUAGUCUUCCCACAGAAGGCAAGAGCCAUACAACAGGACUGACUAGGGCUUGGGACAAGUUAUUGAUCUCUUUCAAGGGCAGAGUGGAGUUGGAGUGGGGGGAAGUGUCCAGGCUAAUGGGAGCAAGGACACAUGGAACAGGCCUGGGGGCUGAAGCAGAGCCUCCACCCCAAACCCUGCACUUCCACCCAAGCCCCCCAGCCCCCAGUGCAGCUAUAACCUGAGUUCCUUUCUGCCACAGUACAGAGAAGCAUCAGCCUGCCACUGAUAUCAACAGACCUGAUUCUUUUCAGAAGAAAAAUCCCCUAGAAGAGAACCAGGCUGGAUCCCUGAGGGAAGACCCUUGGAGAAGGCAGCCCAAGCGCUGGAAUUCUUACAGUUAAAAGUCCCAGAAGAGGAGGAGAGUCCCAAGGACUGCAGGCUACUCCCUGGCAGUGGGGGUUUCCUUCUUCACCCCUGAUCUCCUGUAGUCUUAGUUUCAAUUCUGCCAGGCAAGGGAGACCAUAAGUCUUCUCCUCUGGGGCCCAGGCUGGAGGCUACAAGACUUGCAGAGGACAGGAUAAAACCCAGACCCUGCUUAUGAGACAGGUCACUCUUCUGUAUAGGACAACCAAGGGCGACUUUAAGGAGGAUGCCUGGAGGACAUGAGAAGGUGAGAAGGAACAGGAUGGUGGAAAGAGGCCAAGCAUUUGGGAAGUUUCUCAUGGCUACUUAGCUAUAGCAUUUAAGAGCAAGAUGGUGUCCACAGAAUAGACCUCAGCUGUCUUGCGGGCAAGAUCUGGAAAGGUUAGGAGUUCUACUGGAAAAAGAAAGCAGGGUGUACAAGCCACCCUCCCAACCUCACCCAAAAUGGAAAGCCUCGGGGCAGUUGGAGUGGAGUUGAGGAGAACAGGUGGCAAGGCUGCUGAGGAGUUGCUGACACUGCUGAUCCUCUGUGCGCUGGGGCCGUGACUUCAGGGGGAGAAGCUCCGUGUGGGAGUUUUUGAGAAUAGGUGCCUGGAUGUGGAGCCCUGCCAGGUAUUCCUCCUGGUGUAAGCCAUGGUGAUCCAGCAAAGGCCAGGCACUAGUAGGCGAGGAGCUAAGGCAGGAAUGGCAUGAAGGGCAGAUAAGCAAGAGCUGGCUGUCUUGAGAGGUGAAGAGCAGGGGCCAGUGACCUUCCCCAAGAGAUGGCUCUUCAUCUAACCAUGACUGGUGCCUGGUUUAUCUGCUCUGUCUUUUCUUUGCAGUGGGGAGAAAGACAAAUGACCACGAAAGCUCUCCUGCCUGCUUCUGUAUGAUAUGUUUGAUAUUGGGUUGUUUAAUUAGGAGCCAACUAAAUGUCAAACAUAUUCUUACAGCAGUUGGCAAUUCAGCAACACACUCUUUUCUACCUCAACCUCUGGGGAUCCUGUCUUUUCUAUUGAACUUCUCUUUAGGACCCCCUCUGGCAUAUUAGUGGCUGCAACCCAUGAAGAUUUCAAUCUUAAGCUAGAGGGAUGGUGUAUGAGUGGGAUGAGAGUUGGAAUUUCCCCCUUAGUAGAUAAGAUUUCUCUCUUUACCUCUCCUCUCCUUUCCUUGUAUUUUUUCAUUCAAGUCCCCCUCCCCACUUAUUAUUCACUGCUUCCCACCCCUGGGACUCUCUUGUUCCCUAAUCCAUUUCCCUGGCUGGUCUGCACAUUAGAGGUCUUUGGUCUCUUGCUUUCCUUCAAGUGUUAUCUGACCGUUUAUCUAUUUAUCUCUAGUGACUGCAAGCUCUCAGUUCUCAAGAGUGGACUCCAGCUCUGUCCUAUGCCUUGCUGGUCGUUUCAGUUUCUUCAUUGCUGGGGCAUAGCAUUAACACCAUCCAUCUAGCCUUGACAUAAUGAUUCAUUUGAGCCAUUUAUAUUCUUCCCUGUUAGCUCUGGUCACCUUGAACAGCGCCCACCACUCUCCUGGCAUACUCUCAGGUUUUAUGGUGCCAGUGUGAUCAACUGCCACCUGUCAGCAAUGAGGCUCCAAGUGGAAGAAUGAACACGCCCUGGAACUAAGCUGGGGAGAAUAGAGUUGAUGAUGAUGAUUAUUUUGACGAGUGGUGGUGGGGGUGGGGAUAAAGAGAGGGUAAAGGGUGACGGAAAGAAGAGUAGAAAGCAACAGAGUCACAGGGGUGGAUUAUCCAAUAGGCAAGGUAAGCUUACCUUGCCUACCAGAUCAUCUGGAAUGAACAAUUUCAUUACAGAUUAGUUAAGUAAGCACAAGUAAGCCUGUGCUUACUUUGCUUACUGGGUCAUCUUAUGACUGUCAAUUUAAAAAAAGGCUUUGAUUCUGCAGGAAGGUGCUGUGAGGUUGGGACAGAGACAGAUGCCAGCCAUACCUAGAAGCAGAAUCUUCGAUGUGGUGAAAAAAUGUGAAAUUGUUCACUACGGAUGAUCUGGCUCCCUGGAUACCAGGAAUCAAAAGAUGAAACCCAACCAGUGGAAUCUGAUCACCAUCCAACUCAGUCUGGGUGACAGUAAGAGGAAAGCUGAAGGGCAACUGAGACUCUGGAUGAAAACUCACGCCAUCCUAAAAUUGCCAAAGUACCCUUCCCUUUUCUAUAUCAAUGUUUUCUCUUUCCCUCUCCCUGCUCUUGUAAAAUACCCAUAGAACUGCCUAGAAUAAGUGGAAACUUUCAGGGUUGGUGAGAGUCUCCCCUCCUCCACUUUCCAUUGUCUAAAGUCAGCCUCAGCUGUUCACAGAUAUUUCUUUGCCGGUGAUGUCAGUCCAUCAAAGUGUCUCACCCUGUGUUCCCCCAGGAGAAUAACGAUGGGGUGGAGAGAGAUGGAAGGGCCAUAUUAGGAAUAAGAGGUGGAGCCACAAGCAGAGAUAAAGGCUUAAGUGUGGGAAACUUCUAGUCACUCAGGCAGCAGCCCUUCCUUUCUUGACCUAGUCUCCAGUUUCUAGUGCUCACAGGUGAGCCCAACAGCCACUGCUCAUGAUGGAGGCCAUCAAGAAAAAGAUGCAGAUGCUGAAGUUGGACAAGGAGAAUGCUCUGGAUCGGGCAGAACAAGCUGAAGCUGAGCAGAAACAGGCAGAAGAAAGAAGUAAACAGCUUCCCUGGAGGGGCAGAGGACAUCUGCGGUAUCUGCCUCAGACUACCUGUGUGACCUCGGGAAAGUCAGUGAUCCCCCUCAGAGCCACAGCAUGUCUGCUGGAUUUAAGUGGGAGGUGGAUCAUCUUUUGGAAGAGCCCGGAAAAGGCGGAAGGCCUGGCAUGCAGCAUCUCUUUUCCGUUAAAUGGAGUCACAGGUAUCUAUAACCUUAGAUAUUGGAUGCCAGGGUCUUGGAUAAAAACCCUGGCAUCCAACCCAACAUAGGGUCACAGGCCAAGGCCGAAGCGUAACACUUGGAGCAUUAGAUUGGAAAUGGCUAGGGAAAAAGUAUGUCUCUGAGGAUGGUAACAUAGAGGCUGGGCUCCGGGGCCUACUAGCCCAGGGUCCAAGACUGUACUGCUGUGUAUAUGUAUGUGACUCUCUGGGCUCCUACAGCUGGAGGAUGAGUUGGCAGCCAUGCAGAAGAAGCUGAAAGGGACAGAGGAUGAACUGGACAAGUAUUCUGAGGCUUUGAAGGAUGCCCAGGAGAAGCUGGAGCUGGCUGAGA